RNAcentral lists this transfer RNA (87 nucleotides) under Candidatus Aminicenantota bacterium. RNAcentral's name for it is "Candidatus Aminicenantes bacterium tRNA-Ser". It matches the Rfam family "tRNA". From Rfam's summary of the family: Transfer RNA (tRNA) molecules are approximately 80 nucleotides in length. Their secondary structure includes four short double-helical elements and three loops (D, anti-codon, and T loops). Further hydrogen bonds mediate the characteristic L-shaped molecular structure. tRNAs have two regions of fundamental functional importance: the anti-codon, which is responsible for specific mRNA codon recognition, and the 3' end, to which the tRNAs corresponding amino acid is attached (by aminoacyl-tRNA synthetases). tRNAs cope with the degeneracy of the genetic code in two manners: having more than one tRNA (with a specific anti-codon) for a particular amino acid; and 'wobble' base-pairing, i.e. permitting non-standard base-pairing at the 3rd anti-codon position. RNAcentral also lists the same sequence under 1 other name. The record is from RNAcentral. Lineage: Bacteria; Candidatus Aminicenantota.
GGAGGGAUGGCCGAGCGGCUGAAGGCGGCGGUCUUGAAAAUCGCUUCACGAGUGAUCGUGACGGGGGUUCGAAUCCCUCUCCCUCCG